CAAUCUGAAGAGCGCCGCCGCCGAAUCAUCGAGUCUCAGAGAGCUGCAAUUGCCGCUGUUGAGGCUCCGGUGAGAUCAAAGCACCGAUCUGACGGUGAGAUCAACACAAUGAGGACGAAGAUGAGGAUGAUAGUGACGAUGCUGCGGUUACCAAAGGAAAUGAGAAGAUGGAAGAGAAGAAGGUGAAGCAGAAGAAGCCAAAGAAACCGAAGGUGACUGUGGCAGAAGCUGCCGCGAAGAUUGACUCGGCUGAUCUCGCUGCUUUUCUUGCUGAUAUAUCGGCAUCGUA
RNAcentral lists this unclassified non-coding RNA (289 nucleotides) under Hevea brasiliensis (rubber tree). The record is from RNAcentral. Lineage: Eukaryota; Viridiplantae; Streptophyta; Magnoliopsida; Malpighiales; Euphorbiaceae.